Long non-coding RNA from Oreochromis niloticus (Nile tilapia), 222 nucleotides. RefSeq lists it as uncharacterized. NCBI's taxonomy places the organism in Eukaryota, Metazoa, Chordata, Actinopteri, Cichliformes, Cichlidae. The record is from RefSeq and is a predicted model, not a curated record. The transcript is spliced from 2 exons.
AGAUUUAGUAAUUUACUGGUUAAUUACUUAUGUUCAGUGUAAGAGGUGGGUGAUCAAUUAGACUAUUUUUGUUACACUUAACCUUUCAAGAUACGAUGAUAAUAACAUUGUUCAACAAAGGCUUAAAACAAAAGGAAAUCAGCUGUGUACUCAAUUCAUAUGGGCAUAAAAUAAGUGAGAGGCAUCUGAGACGAGUUUUAAAACUUCUAGGGUUGAAGCGAA